GAUGGACAACCCAGCUGGCUCAUGCUCCGUUUUGAUGAGGUUCUGGGAAGCGAGCCAGGUGAUGUGAACCUGCUGAAAUGCUGCAGGAGUUCCAGGCAAGUUAGCCUUGGCAGUGAGGACAGAUACAAAGAGAGAAGAAAUAAGGAAGUUUCCUGAUGCCCACAAAGGUUAAAUAACUGACUCGAGGUUACCCAGCAAUAAACGUUGAAAAAGAGUUUAAAUUAGUUGGCUUUCAGAGUUUGUGUUUUGGACAACUAUAUUCUACUUUGGACAGCACUGUAUUUUCUCAUUGUAAAAGCAGGCAGGAUGGAGUAAAAAAUAAAAGUCAAAACAAUUUGAAAACAA
This 345-nucleotide long non-coding RNA is filed under the name Pongo abelii (Sumatran orangutan). RNAcentral describes it as "lincRNA". Lineage: Eukaryota; Metazoa; Chordata; Mammalia; Primates; Hominidae. The record is from RNAcentral.